This is a small nuclear RNA of Suncus etruscus (white-toothed pygmy shrew), 108 nucleotides long. NCBI's taxonomy places the organism in Eukaryota, Metazoa, Chordata, Mammalia, Eulipotyphla, Soricidae. The record is from RefSeq and is a predicted model, not a curated record.
GUGCUCACUUCGGUGGUACAUACACUAAAAUUGGAACGAUACAGAGAAGAUUAGCAUGGCCCCCUGUGCAAGGAUGACAUGCAAAUUCAUGAAGCAUUCCAUAAAAAA